AGCAGCCGCGGUAAUUCCAGCUCCAAUAGCGUAUAUUAAAGUUGUUGCAGUUAAAAAGCUCGUAGUUGAAUUUUAGGCCUGGCCGGACGGUCUGUCUCUGGCGAGUACUGUUCUGUCGUCGGGUCUAUCCUUCUGGUGAGCCGGCAUGUUCUUAAUUGGGCGUGCCGGGGGAGCCAGGACCAUUACCUUGAAAAAUUGAGUGUUUAAAGCAGGCUUUUGCUUGAAUAGAUUAGCAUGGAAUAAUAGAAUAGGACGUUGUGGUUCUAUUUUGUUGGUUCAAGGACCACCGUAAUGAUUAAUAGGGAUAGUUGGGGGCAUUAGUAUUCAAUUGUCAGAGGUGAAAUUCUUGGAUUUAUUGAAGACUAACUACUGCGAAAGCAUUUGCCAAGGAUGUUUU
This 397-nucleotide ribosomal RNA is filed under the name uncultured Archaeospora. RNAcentral describes it as "SSU rRNA". It matches the Rfam family "Eukaryotic small subunit ribosomal RNA", at positions 569 to 970 of the family's 1831-position model. Lineage: Eukaryota; Fungi; Glomeromycota; Glomeromycetes; Archaeosporales; Archaeosporaceae. The record is from RNAcentral.